Molecule: long non-coding RNA, 213 nt
Filed under: Dermacentor andersoni
Lineage: Eukaryota; Metazoa; Arthropoda; Arachnida; Ixodida; Ixodidae
Description: uncharacterized LOC126517767
Source: RNAcentral
AAGAGUUGGAGAACAAGUCACUUUUUGGGCGGCGUUCAAACGCCCACGAGGGUGCCGCCCAAAAAGAGGCCUUGGAUCCGAGACGUGUGAAUGCCAUCCUGAGCUACACAGCAAGUCAUUUUGAUGCCACAACACGCGAAAUAAAAAACACAUUGUCAUCUAUGCUAGCGCGUGGAUAUUAAAAUCUUUUUAAUAAAUGCUAGUUUUCAAAAA